RNAcentral lists this RNase P RNA (343 nucleotides) under Clostridiaceae bacterium. RNAcentral describes it as "RNase P RNA component class A". It matches the Rfam family "Bacterial RNase P class A". From Rfam's summary of the family: Ribonuclease P (RNase P) is a ubiquitous endoribonuclease, found in archaea, bacteria and eukarya as well as chloroplasts and mitochondria. The record is from RNAcentral. Lineage: Bacteria; Bacillati; Bacillota; Clostridia; Eubacteriales; Clostridiaceae.
UGAGUCAGUUUGACGGUCGCGGCGAAACGCUGAAAAGCGCUCGCUGAGGAAAGUCCGGGCUCCUAGGGCAAGGAUGCCGGCUAACGGCCGGUGAAGGCGACUUUAAGGACAGUGCAACAGAAAUAGACUGCCGAGAGGCGUCUCGGCGAUGGUGGAAAGGUGAGGUAAGAGCUCACCGGCGGUACGGAGACGUACCGGCCAUGCAAACCCCAUCCGGAGCAACGCCGUGGAGGAACAACGGGUGCCUGCCGGUUCCGCGGAGGCGGCUAGAGUCUUCUGGCAACAGAAGAUCGAGAUAGAUGACCGUCCACGACAGAACCCGGCUUAUAGACUGGCUCAGCAG